Molecule: non-coding RNA, 54 nt
Organism: Salmo salar (Atlantic salmon)
Lineage: Eukaryota; Metazoa; Chordata; Actinopteri; Salmoniformes; Salmonidae
Source: Rfam
UAGUAUUUAUUAUGCAAGUCACUCUGGAUAAGAGUGUCUGCUAAAUGACCAACA